GUAGGGAAUCUUCGGCAAUGGACGAAAGUCUGACCGAGCAACGCCGCGUGAGUGAAGAAGGUUUUCGGAUCGUAAAACUCUGUUGUUAGAGAAGAAUGUUGAUUAGAGUGGAAAAUUAAUCAAGUGACGGUAUCUAACCAGAAAGGGACGGCUAACUACGUGCCAGCAGCCGCGGUAAUACGUAGGUCCCGAGCGGUGUCCGGAUUUAUUGGGCGUAAAGCGAGCGCAGGUGGUUUAAUAAGUCUGAUGUAAAAGGCAGUGGCUCAACCAUUGUGUGCAUUUGAAACUGUAAGACUUGAGUGCAGUAGAGGAGAGUGGAAUUCCAUGUGUAGCGGUGAAAUGCGUAGAUAUAUGGAGGAACACCGGUGGCGAAAGCGGCUCUCUGGACUGUCACUGACACUGAGGCUCGAAAGCGUGGGUAGCAAACAGGAUUAGAAACCCGGGUAGUCC
Molecule: ribosomal RNA, 450 nt
Filed under: uncultured bacterium
Lineage: Bacteria
Description: partial 16S ribosomal RNA
Rfam family: Bacterial small subunit ribosomal RNA
Source: RNAcentral